Molecule: long non-coding RNA, 273 nt
Organism: Scleropages formosus (Asian bonytongue)
Lineage: Eukaryota; Metazoa; Chordata; Actinopteri; Osteoglossiformes; Osteoglossidae
Exons: 4
Source: RefSeq, a predicted model, not a curated record
AGGUCAUUUUGGAACAGAUUUUCCAGAAGAGGAAACCCUAAUACUAUGAACAUGAAUGUAAAUUACAGUUUAAAUAAUGACAGCGUCACCUGUGGUAAAUCUGCCCCCAAACCACGCCUUCCAUCUCCUGAAAGCCACCCUAAAUUCGACUGUGGAAAGAUGACUGGGAAAAAAUUUGAUGAGGUAUGUAUUUCUCCUUUCUGAGUUUAUCUGCUGUGGAUUAGCAAAUCAUGGGUACACCUAAAAGGGCACAGCGUGAGGAUUGUUGGGAAA